Harpia harpyja (harpy eagle) is the source of this 3151-nucleotide long non-coding RNA. RefSeq lists it as uncharacterized. The record is from RefSeq and is a predicted model, not a curated record. The transcript is spliced from 4 exons. NCBI's taxonomy places the organism in Eukaryota, Metazoa, Chordata, Aves, Accipitriformes, Accipitridae.
AUUGGUGUUUUGAGAAAAAGCAGGGCUUAGCUCUUAAUCUGUAAGACUUGAAAAUUCUUGUACUUCAUAAAACCAGCUUUCACUUCUAAGAAAAUUUUAUAAAUGUAAUAGGUUGCCAUUAACUUUUCAGUUAAGCAGUGUGUAAUCAGGCGAAGCGUAGUAGAUGAUAAUAUUUGAUUGCAUGUAACCGUACUAAGUGGUUUUGGUCUGCGCUGAUGUCCCUCUACAGCUUCAUCGCUGAAACACUGUAAGCUUUUGUGCAGCUUCUGCAAUCUAUUCAGUAUAGACCUAGCCUAUAAAUAGCUGCAUUAUUGAAAGACCGUGAGAGGUUCAUUAGAGAAGUUGUGACAGCCUCCUUUGAGCCAGGGCUGAUAUAGUACCACUCCAAGUUACCAAAGAGUUUCGGCAUGUGGGUAACACUAAGCACGAAGCUGGGCUUUUGGCCAUGCAGCAGCGUAGCUGCCCCACCGGUCGUCGUCCCCAUCACCCCGGCUGCGGAUUCUCACAAAGUACACUGCGCUUCUUGCCAGCUCCAGCCACGGGGAUUUCUUUCCAAACGAAAACACAACAGCAUGUGGGACCUCGUGGUCACGCCAACCUUGUCCCAGCCCAGAGCCGGGAUGCAGCCAAGGGCGUCUGCUGGGGACCGGGGGCGCAGGACAUCGUGCCCGCCGUACCUACCUGCCGGCGCAGCGGCAGCCAGGGAGAUUAGUCAUCUUAAAAUCACAGGCAGGCAGAAGUACUGUGCUGACUCAAUAGGAAGUCGCUGGCUGAAAUCAGUGGGACUUCUCACAUGAUUGAAGUUACAUGCUGAAAAUGUCUUAAUCCUGUGCACUGUAUUCACAUCACUGGGGAGCAAGGAAAGAAAAUUUGAAUGGCAGCUGAUGGCUGUUUUCUUUCAAAGCCUAUGAGUUCCAUCAGUAUAUUAAUUGUCUCUGUGUACUUGGGUUCACUUGGCUUUGAAAAGCAUCCGACGGAGAAGCAGCAUUUGGUCAACAUCGAGAAGAUCUGGUGAUUUAAACUCUGGAGCUGAUUUGGUCUUGGUGUUACCAAACAACAGAACCCAGCUCCCCCGUUCUGCUGUCCUUCACGUCGCCCUCGAACUGAGGCAGCACUCCACCGACUGCCUGGUCUUUAUCACCAGAUUUUCUGAAUGUUCAGCACCCGUAACAUUGCAGCAGAUUUUCAGAAGCGGGCAGCCAUCAGCUAUGGCAAUUACAGUUAGGGCCAAAUUCUCAAAAGAACUUGGCAUACUGCCCCAAAUCUGGUCCCAGGCAUGGAUACAUAGUGCUUUCCUGCAGGAAUCACAGCUCCGAUUUGGGGAGUCACCUAAUUCUGUGCCCCACAGAGGAGUCCCAGCUGGGAGGUGUGUGGUCAGGAUGAAGGUGGCAGAUACCUGCCUCUGUUUGCUGAGCACUUGCGCACCGUGCAAUGCAAUAUAAAUGAGCGUGUUCAGCCCAGCUGCCACACCGUAAACAAGCAUGAUGAAAGAACAUCGCAUCUAUGCCUGCUACUACCCAUCAGGACAUUAUCUCUGCUCCCUUGCCUCCAUCGAGGCCUGGAGAUGAAGUACUGCCUCGUAUACACCCCACUCAUGAAAUGCCUUCCCUGGCUGGCUGUUCCCAGUCCAGGAUUAUCCAUCAGCUGCAGGACACAGCUGCUUGGCAAGGGAGUCAGUGCACCAUGAGAAGGCCUGGCAUUUUCUGUCCCUUACUAAGCAUUUUCUCCACUUGUCCCUUAUAUUUCUGUCGUGGUUUAACCCCAGCUGGCAACUCAGCACCACGCAGCCGCUCGCUUACCCCCCCCAAGCCAGUGGGAUGGGGGAGAGAAGCAAAAACCAGUAAAACUCGUGGGUUGAGAUAAAGAUAUUUUAAUAGGACAGAAAGGAAGAAUUUAAUAAUAAUAAUAAAGGAACUGGAAUAUACAAAACAGGUGAUGCAUGAUGCAAUUGCUCACCACUCACCGACCGAUGCCCCCCAACCAACUCCCCCCAGUUUAUAUACUGGGCAUGACAUCACAUGGUAUGGAAUACCCCUUUGGCCAGUUUGGGUCAGCUGCCCUGGCUGUGUCCUGUGCCAACAUCUUGUGCCCCUCCAGCCUUCUUGCUGGCUGGGCAUGAGAAGCUGAAAAAUCCUUGACUUAGUCUAAACACUACCCAGCAACAACUGAAAACAUCAGUGUGUUAUCAACAUUCUUCUCAUACUGAAUCCAAAACAUAACACUAUACCAGCUACUAGAAAGAAAAUUAUCCCAGCUGAAACCAGGACAAUUUCUUUUCUCCUUAUAGUUAUUGGUCCUUUUUUAACACAGCAUCAUUUUGGGGAAAGAAAAUCCAUCCCUGUCUCCUCCUCCCUCUCAUGCAGCAGCUCUCGACUCCAGUUGGACUCUGCUUGGAUUUCUUCAGGAGUUAGCUCAACACCCUGCCAAAGCCACAGGUAUCUCCCCCAGCAACUUGUCCCUGACCAUCUUCCUCCCCUUCCCCAGCUGCUCUCGCAUCGCUCACAGGUGAUACUGCCCUGUUCCUGGUAGCCUGGCUUAUUUGGCUGGGCUGGAAUGACGCUGAAAAACAAUGGAAAAAAACCCUCAGAAAAGGUCUUUCCUCCAAGGAAAAUUUUCUUCUUUAAAUAGGCCCUUUGCAUUUGGGAGGAAAAAUACAAUUUUUAUCUCAUUAACGUACGAUUCCCCAGUCAUCUGCACUUCUGAGCUCUGUAGCUAUUUUACGUUCGUUCUGAAUACAUAUGAUUUAACCUGGAGCUAUGAUGUAUAGAGUCAGACUACGGGAAAAGGACUGGAGACUCUGUAUUAGUAAUCAGUUCGGCUUUAUUUCACUCAGCAGUGACACUGGACAAUAACAACUUCUUACAAGUAAUUUUGGACUGAACAAGAUACAUCUGUCCCUGUGGUGCACUGGAGAUGCACCCGUCUGCACCACGAGAACUGUCGUUGUCUCCUCAUCUAUCACUUCCCACUUGUGGCAUCACUUCAUCUAAUCAACAGUAACUUGCCGUCUGCACUGCCAAGAAACUUUGAAAAUGUUCUGAAUUUUGUACCAGGAAAGGCCAUAAGGUGCACUUUGUGUGUCAAAUAUCUCAGAAAUUAGUUCUGGGCUACUGCAAACUCUUACCCAAAAUACAUGGGGAUACAGUUCUAU